AUCAUCGAUUCCUGAGAUAAGGAAAUAGUUAGGGAUUUGCAAAAAGCUAGUAUUAAACUAGAAAGAAAGAAAGUAAGAGAAACAGAAAAGAAACAGAGGAGGAAGAAGAGGAAGGCAGAGCAGCCGCGAGCCACCGCGGCGGGGCGCGAGGCAGCGGCAACGCCGCGUGCCCGCCACGGCGGUCGCGGUGGCGCCAAGCAAGAGAGAGAGAUUGACGAGGAGAGAGGGAGACAGAGAGAUCGAAGAGGAGAGCAGAGAGAUGGACAGAAGAGAUCAGACGAGAGGGAGAGAGAUAGAUUACCUGAGACAGAGGUGGCGGUGGUGCGAUGGAGACGGCGGUGGCAGAGGCAGCACUCGUUGGAGGGGCGGAUUUCAGAGGGGAAAGGGAGGCAGAAAACCCUAGAAAUUGGGAAUUUUAGAAUUAGAGAAGGAAAUAGGGAAUAGAGAGGAAGGAGAAGAUGAGGAGCCGGCCUCGCCACGCUGGAGGCGGCGAGAACCGGCGAUGUUCGCCGGAGAAACGCAGAGAGAGAGAGAGAGACGGUAGAGAGAAGGGGGGGAUGAAACAGAACGCAGAGAGAAGUGAAAUCUGUUCUAAAUUCUUAGAAGAC
This 608-nucleotide long non-coding RNA is filed under the name Salvia miltiorrhiza (redroot sage). RNAcentral's name for it is "long non-coding RNA (SMIL_LNC006537)". The record is from RNAcentral. Lineage: Eukaryota; Viridiplantae; Streptophyta; Magnoliopsida; Lamiales; Lamiaceae.